Molecule: ribosomal RNA, 305 nt
Filed under: uncultured bacterium
Lineage: Bacteria
Description: bacterial SSU rRNA
Rfam family: Bacterial small subunit ribosomal RNA
Source: RNAcentral
CUCCUCCUACGGGGGGCAGCAGUCGGGAAUAUUGCGCAAUGGAGGAAACUCUGACGCAGUGACGCCGCGUGCAGGAAGAAGGUUUUCGGAUUGUAAACUGCUUUAGACAGGGAAGAAAAAAGGCAGUACCUGUAGAAUAAGCUCCGGCUAACUACGUGCCAGCAGCCGCGGUAAUACGUAGGGGGCAAGCGUUAUCCGGAUUUACUGGGUGUAAAGGGAGCGUAGACGGUGCAGCAAGUCUGAUGUGAAAGGUCGGGGCCCAACCCCGGGACUGCAUUGGAAACUGUUGAACUGGAGUACAGGAG